GUUCAAAAUAAUGAAACGAUAACAAAUAUGAUAUACAGCAACAAACAAAAGCCAGUGAAUUAUGGGCUCCUCACUUGGCACAGGCACAUACAGAAUGUAGCGAGAUUAAAAUGUAUGUUGACGUCCAACCAUCCUCUUACCUGUGAAAGUGGUGUAUCAGUACAACAAAUGAACAAACUAUAAAAAUCAGUUGAAAAGGGCUUAAUUCAUCAGAUAGAUACAAA
RNAcentral lists this long non-coding RNA (224 nucleotides) under Mytilus galloprovincialis (Mediterranean mussel). The record is from RNAcentral. Lineage: Eukaryota; Metazoa; Mollusca; Bivalvia; Mytilida; Mytilidae.